AAAUGCGAUAAGUAGUGUGAAUUGCAGAAUUCAGUGAAUCAUCGAAUCUUUGAACGCACAUUGCGCCCUUUGGUAUUCCUUAGGGCAUGCCUGUUCGAGCGUCAUCUAAACCUUCAAGCUCUGCUUGGUGUUGGGUGUUUGUCCCCGUCUCCGCGCGUGGACUCGCCCCAAAGUGAUUGGCAGCCGGCGUACUGGUCCCGGAGCGCAGCACAUGUCGCGCAAACGAGUGCCUUGGUACGGCGGCGUCCAUAAGCCCCUCUCUCACGCUCUUGACCUCGGAUCAGGUAGGGAUACCCGCUGAACUUAAGC
Molecule: unclassified non-coding RNA, 309 nt
Filed under: plant metagenome
Description: partial contains 5.8S ribosomal RNA, internal transcribed spacer 2, and large subunit ribosomal RNA
Rfam family: 5.8S ribosomal RNA (bases 1-104)
Source: RNAcentral